AUACGGAGGGGGCUAGCGUUGUUCGGAAUUACUGGGCGUAAAGCGCGCGUAGGCGGAUUGGUCAGUUAGGGGUGAAAUCCCAGGGCUUAACCCUGGAACUGCCUCUAAUACUGCCAGUCUUGAGUUCGGGAGAGGUGAGUGGAAUUCCUAGUGUAGAGGUGAAAUUCGUAGAUAUUAGGAAGAACACCAGUGGCGAAGGCGGCUCACUGGCCCGAUACUGACGCUGAGGCGCGAAAGCGUGGGGAGCAAACAGGAUUAGAAACCCUAGUAGUCC
This 274-nucleotide ribosomal RNA is filed under the name uncultured bacterium. Its description in RNAcentral is "partial 16S ribosomal RNA". It matches the Rfam family "Bacterial small subunit ribosomal RNA", at positions 523 to 796 of the family's 1533-position model. The record is from RNAcentral.